Molecule: non-coding RNA, 4366 nt
Organism: Callithrix jacchus (white-tufted-ear marmoset)
Lineage: Eukaryota; Metazoa; Chordata; Mammalia; Primates; Cebidae
Source: RefSeq, a predicted model, not a curated record
GAGUUGUGAAGAGAAGUGAUAGAAAAAUUCUCUUAACCUUGACAGUUUUUUUGCACAUCAUUUGAGGUUUUCUGAACUUGUAAUUCAUGGGCUCUCUGCUGGCCUUGUCCUCUCCCUUUAGUGGGCAUGGCGGCCACCAGCCCCAUACAGGAUGUUUGCAGACAGGAACACUGUCCUGCUGCUGCCAUGCAGCUCCCAAGAAGCUCACCAUGUGGUAUCCACCUCUUAUAGCCAGGAGCUAGGAUGAGCCAUGGUAAGAGCCACACUAACCCCUUUCUUUGAGGAUCCAUGAGGUGAUUCAGAGCAAGAAGGCCCAGCCGUGAAGCCAUGUCCAUGGGCACAUGCACACACAUAUUGGUUAUAAUUUAUAGCAUCUAUGAAAAGCCAAAACAGACAGUCCAUUCUUGUGAUGGAAGGAGGUGAGGGAGAGGCAUUCUGGAAACACCUUGGCCUGGUGCAGACACAAAGCCUGGAUGAGCUCAUAAAUCCCCCAUUCUGAUGGUCAUGAUGUGACCCAGUGGUAACUAGAAAUAUGCUUGAUGGUAUGGGACCACUGCCAGGCACACAUCAGGCAUGGUGCCCACCUGCUUAGGCUGAGAGGGAGGUGGGAAAAGGAGAAAAAGGAUGAGAGGAUUGGGGUAAAGUGGGGGAGGGAGGGGAGAGAGAGACUGCUGAUAGGAAAAACAGGCAACUCUUGGAAGCCAUUUCUCUAGCUUCUCUCCUAAGCUUCAUGGAGAGAGAGAGCAAGGCUCAACAUGGACCAGGAGCAACCCUCUGAGAAGCAUCCAUGAACAUUGUAGAAAACUGUGGUUGAGAUGGCGAAGCAGAGACAAAUUUUGGUUCUGACCAUAGACAACUCCUGAGGCCCCUCAAGGUUCCCUGCAGUGGCACUUACACACUCUGAUCUCAUAUCGGCAAUAGACAGGGGCCACAAAAGCUGGGAACAUGAGGCUGUUCCAUACUCUGCCACAGGAGCCAGUUGCUGCCUCUUUCUGCGACCUACACACAGCAUGCCCCAGUAGCUCCAAGGCCCAUGGAUACAUGCAGACAUGAUGAGCUCUGAGGAACUCAGAGACCUUGGCACCUUUUGAAGACAUCUUGAAGGACCCCUGUGCCAGCCUUGCCUAUACUCUAAGGUGCUCAGUUGUGUGCCUGUGGCAGCCAUUUCAGGCCACUGGUGGGGGUGCCUGCUGGUUCCUCACCUGGCUGCAGCUGCUCACCCACUCUUUAGAAUCUGCCUACCAUAGGAAGGGUAGAAGUGGGACCCUUUCUUGAGUCUUCUGGAUGAGCAAGAAGCACAGGCACCUCUGGUCCUUUGGGAAGACUUCAGUGGGUAUUUUAGGACCUGUGAAGAGAAAAACCAGCCUUCACAGGCUCAACCUUCCUUGUCCAGAAGGUCUCAGAUGUGCAUGAGUCCCACAGGAGAAACCCCAAAGUCAUAUAGAAGACCCUGGACUGAGCCUCGGGGCCCCUCCUCAGAGACCCAGUUCAGCUACCAGGUGGCUGCUGAGUGAGACCUGUUGGAGGAGUGCCUGGGCCUUUCUCUGGGGCAUGUGGGUCCAGGGAACCUCAUCUCUGCCACACAUGUUGGAAGCAGCUUAUGGCAUAACAUGUUUUAUCCCCAAAAAGUUGUUCAUAAACUAGAUUUCUGUAAUGGGGAUCCCAGUUCACAGAUGUGUCAUUUUUAAAGGUAUCCUGCAUUAGGGUCAAGUGGAAUGCUCUUACAAAGGGGGUGAUCAUGUGAGCCAUUGCCUCGUUCUGCUGGCUUUGGUUUGGGGACUCCAGAGCUGGCAGAGAAGGGUCUUGUGUUGAUGAGGAUAUGCAGGUCUCAUGGGAGCAAGUCAAGGCAGCAGCAACAUUGAGAAGCUGGCCCUAUACCUGGGCAGUAAGUGGCUGGGUCCCCAAGAUUCAGCCCUGCCACUCCUGGUCUGAAGAAGAGGUAUGGGGCCAGGUGUGAUAAUGAGAGCACAGCUGUAAGAGGAGAUUGUCCUUUGUGGCUCAUAGGAGGAGACCCAGGACAUAGAUCAGUGACAAGAAGAUAAUCUGGGAAGAUCUGGGCCCUGGAGUCACAGAGGGCCUCUGCCUGUCCCUGAUGGUCAAUGACAACCAUGGUCACUGUCCUAUCUUCUGGCAUUCACCCUCUCAGCUGUUGUCCCUCCCAGAGUCUCUGAGUGUCCAUGUCACACUCUUUCCUGGGGUCUCCUUCCUAGCACCAGAUCCAGGGGCAGGUUUCACACACUCUAUGCCCAGAGUGGGGCUUGUGUGGCUAACUGGAGAAGAAGCAAUUUGCAAGAAGAGCCCUCCUUGCAAAGAGGGAGGAAUUCAACAUGUGGGAAGGGUGGUCCUAUUCUGUUCACUGGGACAGAAGAAUUUGGGAGCAAGAAGCUCCAACAUGAGACAACAGGUGCGCUGCUUCUUUUGCUGCUCUCAGACACCCUCCAUCCUGGUGAAGCCCACACAUUAUUUGCCAGACUUCCAUAUGUGGCUGGAGUAAUCCUCCCCUUCAGUCACAAACCUACAGGUCCUGCCAGCCCCUGCUGAGUAUAGCAUCACCAGGGGAGGCUGAGCAGAGCUUUUCCUUUCUCCUGGUCCUCAGCUUCCCAGUCUCUUCUAUUCCUGAGCCUUAACCCUGAACUACAUUCUCCCUCCUCCAAGUUUUUUCCCAGAGCUAGUGCCCCCUCAUCACUGCACAGUCAGUGAAUGAGUACGUAAAUACAUGAAUAAACAAAUUUCCUUCGUUCACACGUAAGUAGUGCCAUGGAAGUCUAGGAAUCAAGAUACAGGCAGGGUGGAAUGUGGAGAAAGUAUUCUAGAUGGCUUUGUAUUAGAUACUUGAGUGUGGAAAGUGUCACCCUCAGACACCCCAUACAGAGAUGACUGUGGUUCUCUGGCAUCAUACCUCUGUGCCACUUCCUCUGCAGGACACACUCUCCCUGAAGUCCACAGAAACACCCUUGAAGGACACUGGUUCUUGGACACAUGGUGGGUAUUCUUGUUCAGCCUGCACCAUCUCUGGCAAUGCCCACAGGCGAUGGUCAAGGACUACAUUUCUUUCCACUGGGAAAAGGUAGCUCUGUAUAUUAAAUCUUCAAGAUCUGCUUGAGGCCCAGUCAAGUAUUCUCCAGGCUGACUUGACAUAUGACUUAUCCACACAGAUGCAUACACACUCUUAAUACAUGACAACCCUUACCAUGAGGACAUGACAUAGGUGUGGUGUAAAUAUCCUGACCAUUCUACCACGAGAUGGUAAAUGUGACUACUCACCGAUGAUUCUAAAAUACUUGAAAAUUUAUUAAUAACCUCUAAUCCCAGGUAUUUUAAUUAAAUAUGUGAACUAACUACAUGCAAGCAAUCAUGUCAUGCAUCUUAUUAACUGUGACUAUAGAUAAAUGAUUCCCCAAUCUGAAACUCACAAUUCUCAUCUGUGAAAUUAUUUAAGAAUGCUUUUAGUGCUAUUAAAUGUUUUAAAUGCCUUUUUUUUUUUUUUUUUUUUUUGAGAAAGAGUCUCACUCUGUUGCCCAGGCUGAAGUGCAGUGGCAUGAUCUUGGCUCAGUGCAACCUCCACCUCCUGGGCUCAAGCAGUUCUCCUGCUGCAGCUUCCCAAGUAGCUAGGCUUACACAUGUCCACUACCAUGCUGAGCUAAUAUUUUGUAUUUUAAGUAGAGAUAGGGUUUCAUCAUUUUGUCCGCACUUGCCUUGAACUUCUGACCUCAUGAUCCACCCUCCUCAGCCUCUUGGAUUACAAGCAUGAGCCACUGUGCCUGGCCUGAAGGUGCUUCUUAUAUAACAAAAUACAAUAAAUAAAUGCUGCAGGUAUAUUAUUUAUUAAAAUAUUAUUGACCUUUUGUACAAUGUUUGUCAUUCUGCAUGACUUAUCAGACUUUGUACAGAACCUGGGUUAUCACCUGCUAUCUCUCUCAUCUGACCACAGAUCAGGUGUCAUUACCAAAUGUGAGGACAGAUAGGUUUAGCUUCACAUGCCCAUAGUUUCUGGGACAGCUGUGCCGAAGGAUGGUCCUAGUCUGAUCCUUCCUGUAGAAUGAAGUCUCCAUUUCUCUCCUGUUUAUUUUGGAUCUUCAUAGCUUUCAUUAUGAUUAUCUCUCUUAUAGCUUCCUCUUGUCUCUUGUCCUCCUAAAUGCACCACAGAUGAAUGUGUGCUAUUCAGGGCAGAAAAGGCAGUUCCUAGUCUCCUGCCAGCCACCAGGCCACAGAGCAGGAUGCUCAGGUCUCACUCUGUAGAUUAUUGGGUGACUCCUGCUGGAACACUCAUGAGCACCAAAAUUCUCAAUGUCCUGCUUUAUCUGCUGUCUUGGCUGGGGCAUGCCUUGGAUCCAUGAAAACAUAAAGUGAAGAAAGUAUUCUUCAA